GCCAGCGUGGUGUAGUGGUUUGAGUGUUGGACUAUGACUUUGGGGACCAGGGUUUGAUUCCCAGCUCGGCCG
Molecule: transfer RNA, 72 nt
Filed under: Phrynosoma platyrhinos (Desert horned lizard)
Lineage: Eukaryota; Metazoa; Chordata; Lepidosauria; Squamata; Phrynosomatidae
Description: tRNA-OTHER
Source: RNAcentral